RNAcentral lists this ribosomal RNA (434 nucleotides) under Priestia megaterium. Its description in RNAcentral is "bacterial SSU rRNA". It matches the Rfam family "Bacterial small subunit ribosomal RNA", at positions 1026 to 1461 of the family's 1533-position model. Lineage: Bacteria; Bacillati; Bacillota; Bacilli; Caryophanales; Bacillaceae. The record is from RNAcentral.
ACAGAGUGACAGGUGGUGCAUGGUUGUCGUCAGCUCGUGUCGUGAGAUGUUGGGUUAAGUCCCGCAACGAGCGCAACCCUUGAUCUUAGUUGCCAGCAUUUAGUUGGGCACUCUAAGGUGACUGCCGGUGACAAACCGGAGGAAGGUGGGGAUGACGUCAAAUCAUCAUGCCCCUUAUGACCUGGGCUACACACGUGCUACAAUGGAUGGUACAAAGGGCUGCAAGACCGCGAGGUCAAGCCAAUCCCAUAAAACCAUUCUCAGUUCGGAUUGUAGGCUGCAACUCGCCUACAUGAAGCUGGAAUCGCUAGUAAUCGCGGAUCAGCAUGCCGCGGUGAAUACGUUCCCGGGCCUUGUACACACCGCCCGUCACACCACGAGAGUUUGUAACACCCGAAGUCGGUGGAGUAACCGUAAGGAGCUAGCCGCCUAAU